Molecule: unclassified non-coding RNA, 345 nt
Filed under: soil metagenome
Description: partial contains 5.8S ribosomal RNA, internal transcribed spacer 2, and large subunit ribosomal RNA
Rfam family: 5.8S ribosomal RNA (bases 1-120)
Source: RNAcentral
GAUGAAGAACGUAGCGAAAUGCGAUAAGUAAUGUGAAUUGCAGAAUUCAGUGAAUCAUCGAAUCUUUGAACGCACAUUGCGCCCGCCAGUAUUCUGGCGGGCAUGCCUGUCCGAGCGUCAUUUCAACCCUCAAGCCCCCGGGCUUGGUGUUGGAGAUCGGCGAGCCCCCCGGGGCGCGCCGUCUCCCAAAUAUAGUGGCGGUCCCGCUGUAGCUUCCUCUGCGUAGUAGCACACCUCGCACUGGGAAACAGCGUGGCCACGCCGUAAAACCCCCCACUUCUGAAAGGUUGACCUCGGAUCAGGUAGGAAUACCCGCUGAACUUAAGCAUAUCAAUAAGUGGAGGA